RNAcentral lists this ribosomal RNA (711 nucleotides) under uncultured fungus. RNAcentral describes it as "eukaryotic LSU rRNA". The stretch from base 274 to 427 matches the Rfam family "5.8S ribosomal RNA". Lineage: Eukaryota; Fungi. The record is from RNAcentral.
CUUGGUCAUUUAGAGGAAGUAAAAGUCGUAACAAGGUUUCCGUAGGUGAACCUGCGGAAGGAUCAUUAUCGUACAACAAGAGGCGUCCGGGGCUGUCGCUGACUUCUAAAGUCGUGCACGCCUCGGUCGUUCUCAAUCUACACAUCCUUCUCACCCCUUGUGCAUCACCGCGUGGGUUCACUUCUUUUUUAUACAUAAGAGGUGACCUGCGUUUUCUUUACACACACAAACCUUGUCGCUGUGAAUGUCUUUACUUUUUGUAACAAUCAGUACAACUUUCAACAACGGAUCUCUUGGCUCUCGCAUCGAUGAAGAACGCAGCGAAAUGCGAUACGUAAUGUGAAUUGCAGAAUUCAGUGAAUCAUCGAAUCUUUGAACGCACCUUGCACCCCUUGGCAUUCCGAGGGGUACACCCGUUUGAGUGUCGUGAAAUUCUCAACCUCCCCAAUCUCUUGGGGAAGGCUUGGACUUUGGAGGCUUUUGCUGGUCUCUCUUAUUUUGAAGCCAGCUCCUCUUAAACGAAUUAGUGGGGUCCCUCUUUGCCGGUCCCUUAGACGUUAUAGGAUUUCUUUACGUCCGAGGUUUGGCUCUGUAGCCCCGCUUCUAAUAAGGGGUCUCUUCCUUGAGACGCCACCUUUUUUUUUUUGAACCCUUUGACCUCAAAUCGGGUGAGACUACCCGCUGAACUUAAGCAUAUCAAUAAGCGGAGGA